UACAGGGGGUGCAAACGUUGCUCGGAAUCAUUGGGCGUAAAGCGCGCGUAGGCGGUUGCUUAAGUCGGAUGUGAAAGCCCUUGGCUCAACUGAGGAAGUGCAUCCGAAACUGAGCAGCUUGAGUACGAAAGAGGGUCGCGGAAUUCCCGGUGUAGAGGUGAAAUUCGUAGAUAUCGGGAGGAACACCGGUGGCGAAGGCGGCGACCUGGGUCGAGACUGACGCUGAGGCGCGAAAGCGUGGGGAGCAAACAGG
Molecule: ribosomal RNA, 253 nt
Filed under: uncultured bacterium
Lineage: Bacteria
Description: partial 16S ribosomal RNA
Rfam family: Bacterial small subunit ribosomal RNA
Source: RNAcentral